Molecule: long non-coding RNA, 2261 nt
Organism: Esox lucius (northern pike)
Lineage: Eukaryota; Metazoa; Chordata; Actinopteri; Esociformes; Esocidae
Source: Ensembl
AUUUACACCUACAUACAGUGUUUUUUGUUAUGAUGUCACACAUCAUAACAAAAUAACUGCAUGUAAAAGGAGUGAGGCAGGCUUUCUUCAUCCUUUGUCCCUCCUCCUUUCACGAGUUCUGUUUUAAAUAGAGAGCAAGCUUAGUUGGGAGAAGAGUAUCUACUUCUUGAACGCACCUGUGACAUCCAUUAGUCAGACUGUGACAACCACUUGUUCAAGGAGAACAGCAACAUAUUUUCUUACUUCGUGUUCUUCUGAGAUCCAAAAUUACAGCAAUGGACAAUCGAAGCAGAGUUGUGUUCGCAGUCGUCAUGGUAAUGGCGUGCAUGGGAAUGAGAGCUGAGGCACAGAUCUCCACAACAGCUCCAAAUACAACAAAUACAACUCUUUCACUAAACAUCUCAAGGGCAAAUUGUGGAAACAAACAGUUCUGUGCUGCUCAGCCAGCAGGCUGUGACCCAUCUGUGUCUGGAUCCUGUUUCUUCGUCUCAACCAGUCAAAUCUCCGGACAGAACAUUUCCUUCCAGCUUCAAGGACAAUCCAGUGGCUACGUCGCUGUAGGGUUGUCCAGAACCAUUAACACGGGACAAAAUGACUCUGUCUAUGUGUGUGCUAAAAACAACGACAACAUCACUGUCAAUUUCUCUUCCAAUCUUUACAACAACGGAACUCUGACUCUGAACAACAUGCUGCCCUCUAACCUGCUGAAGGGCUCAAUCAGUAAUCUGACCAUCCAGUGCAUCUUCUCUGCUACAGUCCCCGAUGCUACUUCCCCCAGGAGCAGCAGUACCUCCUUUUUCAUUUCCAUCUACAACGGGACCGUGUCUAAUGGACUCCUAGGUAGUCCUAAGGCUAUCUUUACAAGCACUGAAGCCGUGGACCUGUCCAACAGCAAUGCGACCAACAGCAACAGUUCUACAACAGCCUCACCAACCACCACAGCUAACCACGCUUUUGGUCUACAACGCACCCUGUCUCAAGCUCUGCUGAUCCUGCUUGGUGGACUAGUUUUCAUCAUGCUGUAAUGUGGAUCUCAGUAGUAAACCACUUCAUAUUCAGAAAUUCUGGAUCCCUAUGGUUACUGAAGCCAACCAGGCUGGGUUCCCAAGAAUGAAACUCCUUCUGAGCUGGGGUAGUAAGACAUUAGCCUACAGAAUUAAUCCAGUAAUAUAAGAUUAAUGUUGUGUUUAUAGUCAAGGCCUUUUAAGGUACAUUUCAUCAUUAUUUAACCUCAUCAUCUUCGGCAUUACAACAUCAACAUCUCUUCAAUUCAGUGCCUGCAUAACAUAAAAAACUGUUGUGUUGAUGUUGUGUUGAGAACAUGAAUAUGAGGUAUAGACCUAAGACAUCCAACAUGUGUAAGUUAUUUAUUUGAGCCCAGUCAUUUUCAUAUUCAUCGUAGCUUAUGUCAAGUUAUGUUGAAUGUCUUAGGUGUAUACCUAAGGAUGACAAGUAUGAAUUUGUGUGUGUGUAUGUGUGAAGUGUAACUAUUCGCUUACACAUUUGUGUCUAAUGAAGCCACAAGUUGGCAGAAGCUGAUACUUGUGUGUGUAAUUCUGUUUGUGUGUCUGAUAAAGUACCAACAUUUUUUCUUUCUGAUUACCCUUUAAAAGUGUGAAAUGUUUUUCGUACAUUAAAAAUACAACAUUUAUUGACAAUACUAUGCAUUGUGUUUUUCAUACAUACACUUUUAUAUAAUUUAUAGACAGUAAAAUAAGUAAAAGACUGUUUAAAAUAAAAAUGAAUACAGUUAACAUACAAUAAGGGGAAUCAAGCAAUCAACCAGCAAAACCACAUAGAAUGUUUCCAGAGUUCAAUUAAUUGAAACUGUUAAGGAUCUAUUUACUACCCUAUUCUUAUUCUAUCCUUUAUUCUGCAAAUUAACUGUAAUAAAUGGACUGUUUUAGACUAGGCCUGAAAUUGCUUUAGAAUUUUCAUGGUUGCCACAUACAGAAGAAGACCUAGGUCAGCCUGCCCUGCUCUUAGAAGUGAUUAGGGCCACAACCAAGGCACCAGGCAUCAACCCUAUCUUUUGCACGACCCUGUUCAGUUGGAAGCCAUAAUAUGUGAUCAGAACAAUCUGUCAUGACGUUACUCUGCUGGUCUCUGUACUAAUUCUCUAUCAAUGUCAUGAUACUUCUUCCUGUGGAUCCAUGUAAUUAAACUUGAAAUAAUCAACUGUUAUACCAGAAGUUCUCAUUUGUAUAAAUCGCGAACAUUUUCCAUCUUCCACAAUUUGGCACCCCAGAUGGGACUUCAAU